This 442-nucleotide ribosomal RNA is filed under the name uncultured bacterium. Its description in RNAcentral is "partial 16S ribosomal RNA". It matches the Rfam family "Bacterial small subunit ribosomal RNA", at positions 338 to 795 of the family's 1533-position model. The record is from RNAcentral.
CCUACGGGAGGCAGCAGUAGGGAAUCUUUCACAAUGGGCGAAAGCCUGAUGGAGCAACGCCGCGUGCAGGAUGAAGGCCUUCGGGUUGUAAACUGCUUUUAUAAGCGAGAAAUAUGAUGGUAACUUAUGAAUAAGGAUCGGCUAACUACGUGCCAGCAGCCGCGGUCAUACGUAGGAUCCGAGCAUUAUCCGGAGUGACUGGGUGUAAAGAGUUGCGUAGGUGGCAUAAUAAGUAGCUAGUGAAAUCUGGUGGCUCAACCAUUCAGACUAUUAGCUAAACUGUUAAGCUCGAGACCGUGAGGGGUAACUGGAAUUUCUAGUGUAGGAGUGAAAUCCGUAGAUAUUAGAAGGAACACCAAUAGCGUAGGCAGGUUGCUGGGACGGUUUUGACACUAAGGCACGAAAGCGUAGGGAGCAAACGGGAUUAGAUACCCUUGUAGUC